Non-coding RNA from Podarcis muralis (Common wall lizard), 2575 nucleotides. NCBI's taxonomy places the organism in Eukaryota, Metazoa, Chordata, Lepidosauria, Squamata, Lacertidae. The record is from RefSeq and is a predicted model, not a curated record.
AAGAACAGACCUCCAGAACGAAUUACGGUAAGUUCUUAACCCGAGGUACCACUGUACUACCCACCUUAUAAAGUCUGUUUGAGUGCUGGUGACAUUUUCUGCUUUUAACUGUCCCUCUUCUCCUUUAUUGAAGAAGGUGGUUAACAUCUGUUUGCAAUUUAAUUCUAAAGCACUCUUCCCCAAUGAUUACAACCCCUAUCAUCUUGGUAUGGCAGUGGCCAGGAAUGAUGGAACUUAGUCAAACAUUUGGGACCCAAGUUUGAGAAAUGAUGCUGGAGAGUUUCCCAGAUAAUGUAGACUUCUCUAUUUUUUACCACUUGUUAAUCUUUCGGAUUGGUCAGAGAUUCUUUUGUUAGCUUGAGUGGACCAUCUUUACUUGAAGGCAAAACACAAAAAUACAACCCUGUUGUUAAACAUCUCAGCAGAAUUCAGUACAAUUGACAUGGGGUUAAUGGCACAACUCUUUAUUGGAACCACCCUGUUAGGUAGAAAUGGAACUACAGAGUACCGGUACAUGCUGCAUACUCACAAGAUUUCCAGAAAUCUUCAUGUGCUCUUCUAAUCUUCCUAGUCUUCCUAGUCUAUUUAUGUCACAAAUUAAAGCUGCAGUCAUAGGCCCACUUACUUGGGAGUAAGAUCCAUUGCACUCAUUGGGACUUUACUUCUAAGUAGACAUGUAUAGGAUCACUCUGUUAAACAUGCUUUGAACAAUAACAGUGUAUCCAGAUGAUGUUACUCACAUUUAGGUCCCACUCCCUGCUGUCGCCUCCUCUGACAACAAACUUUUGUCUAUCUAGCUGCUUAUGUUUGCUCAUACUAAGCAACCUGCCAGCACUGGAGAGAAAAAGACUGAAACUGAUCCAGACAAACACAACAAGAGGCAGCUAAUGAUCUUUCUGGCAUAGACUGUAUUAAUUACUGUUCAAGCUGGAAAGGAUGUAGCUUAUCACAGCAGGCUAAUGGCAGUUUUAACUCUGGGUGGACAGUCCAACAUGACCAGGACUGAAUAGCCUGCUAGUCACCUGAAAGAGCUCCUCUGGAUGACACUGAGCAGAUGGAACAACUUAUUACAGUGGAAGAAAAACAUGGUAUACAAAUGUAAUAAAUAAAUAACAUUACGACAAACCAGAUCAAAAUAUAAUAAAAAUCAGUAAAAGUAACAACACCAAAUAAAGUUUUAUUUUGAAAAAGGUUGUUUGAAACUCUAUGUUUGGGCUAUUUUUGAAAGCUCACUAAAAAGUAGACAGAUGGUCCUUUCUGGGAAGCAUAUUCCAAAGUAGAACUUGCCUGGAAAAGUUGACCAGAAGAAAUAAGUGAAUAUUAUUAUUAACACUAUUAUAAUUUAUUACUGACCCUUCACCCUAACAUUAAAUUACCAUUCAUCAUUCCAUUUGUCAUUACCCUGUGAAUACCUGGAUUCUUGCCUCUCAAACCCUCCCUGUGACACAAUCAAUUAGGCUGGUUCAUACCUGGAGCCUAAUGGAUCCAACUGGCUUACACAAUUCUACAAGGGAAAUUCUAUUAUGAAAAUGUUUUCACAGCAACCCCUAAAUUCCAUACCCUCCUGUACAAAAGUAUGUAUAACUGAAAUAGUUUCAUAUUCUUGGUGUCUUUAUUCCUGCAUCCAUUUCCCUCCCCUUUCUAUGUAAUCUUCUCUGUUUUAUGUAUGGAUUGCAAAUCUCUUGAGACAGGAACACAGCCAUCCAUUUUAAAAAGUUGUGCAUAUAGUUUGAGCUAUAUAAAAUAAGGAUUAUUCAUGUUAAUGGUUAUCCUGUGGAUAGUAUAAAUGAAUUAUGAAAUACAAGGCUAACCUCAGGAAUAGACAUGGUAGUUCCUAGACAUCCAUAUCUACUUUGCCAUCAGGACAUCCACUAAAGAGUGCAGAUGGUGAAAACCCCAUGUUCUAUAUGGGCAAACAAAACACAGAGCCUAUUUGAAGACCUAAAACACUGUUUUUCUUCCAAUGAGCUCAAGGUGUAUACAUGGUUCUUCUCAUUUCACCCUCACAGCAACCUUGUGAGGUAGGUUAGGCUAAGAGAUGGUGACUAGCUCAAGGUCACUUAGUGAGUAAUGCGUGGUUUAAGUUGGUUUGAUAACCUAUUUGAAUUAUAAAACAGCAAUUUUUAAAAUGCAUCAAUAAAACAAUUGAAUUGUCUGCUGGGAUUGCCCCGUGACUGAUAUUUGCCACUCAAGCCUAAUGCUGUACUGAGUAUUCAGUGACACGGUCUGGGGCUGGCCCAACUCUGCUUUCCUAGCUUCAUAUAGCCAACAAAUACCAGGUCAGCCAUUUCAUUCACAAUCAAAUAAUGUAAGAAGGUUCCUGUCUUGCAUUUAUGUGCCACAGAUGUUUAACAGUAGAUUAAGAUAUGCAGUAGUUGAAUUUUUGAAUUUAAAGACAGAAUGUGUUGGAGCAACAUAUUUCCUGCCCGGCAGAUGGAUGGGACUCAUAACAUUUCAUUUUAAAAAUCACUUUCACAAUUUCCAUAUCUUGUGCUGUACUAGGUAGACCUGUGCCCUGAUCCAGCAGGGUUCGCCUUACAUUUUUAUCAAUAAAAGUUUUAUUAUGUUGCCUGAA